Non-coding RNA from Didymella sp. IMI 355093, 83 nucleotides. NCBI's taxonomy places the organism in Eukaryota, Fungi, Ascomycota, Dothideomycetes, Pleosporales, Didymellaceae. The record is from the annotation of a GenBank genome assembly.
GCAUCCGUUGUGCAGUGGUUAGCAUAUCUGCUUCCCAUUUCGGUAAAAGCAGGGGGUCGCGGGUUCGAACCCCGCCGGAUGCA